This 303-nucleotide ribosomal RNA is filed under the name uncultured Pseudomonas sp. RNAcentral describes it as "bacterial SSU rRNA". It matches the Rfam family "Bacterial small subunit ribosomal RNA", at positions 1086 to 1382 of the family's 1533-position model. Lineage: Bacteria; Pseudomonadati; Pseudomonadota; Gammaproteobacteria; Pseudomonadales; Pseudomonadaceae. The record is from RNAcentral.
CCCGUAACGAGCGCAACCCUUGUCCUUAGUUACCAGCACGUUAUGGGUGGGCACUCUAAGGAGACUGCCGGUGACAAACCGGAGGAAGGGUGGGGAUGACGUCAAGUCAUCAUGGCCCUUACGGCCGUGGGCUACACACGUGCUACAAUGGUCGGUAACGAAAGGGUUGCCAAGCCGCGAGGUGGAGCUAAUCCCAAUAAAACCGAUCGUAGUCCGGAUCGCAGUCUGCAACUCGACUGCGUGAAGUCGGAAUCGCUAGUAAUCGUGAAUCAGAAUGUCACGGUGAAUACGUUCCCGGGCCUU